UUAUCUGUACUGUCCACACACUCGCUUCGUCCAUUUAUCUGAUCCAAGUGCUCUGAAAAACUGCCAACUGCACAAAGAAGAAGGGAUAAACACGUUCAGGGAAAUCUGGGACCGGAGAGGUGGGGAAAGGGGAAGAGAGAGGGAAGGAAGAACAAACUGGGAAACGUCCUCCCCUGUGGCUCACGGGCCUUAUGGUGUCAGGCAAACAUUACAGACAUGACCAGUUGGAGAAAGGGGACGUGGAAGAGAGGGAGAGGAAAGUGGCGUCCAUUCAGGUGUCACUCUACCUGUCCACGAGUCUGCUUAUUCUCAGCCCGUGACUCCCCUUACCUAGAAGACUCAUUCCUUUCUAGAAUCUCUAUCUUUCAACCCUUGUAGUGACAACUCCUCCCCCUCAUUCCCAACCCACGGAAGGCCAUGCUAUAAACCAGCACCACCUUAUCAACACCAUGACCGUCUGCUGUCUAAUAUGAUUAUCAUGUGAUAUUAGUGAUCAACCUUAGCAAUGCUCUUAAUAAUGUGGACAAUGCUGCUUUGUGGUAAGUGGACAUCACUUCAUGUCUUCGUGUAGACUUAUGCCUGUGUCACCUCGUACCAUCUUCCCAGAACACACCUUUACUAGGCCCACACUUAAACUGAUAGAAGAGUGUCGGAGGUGUCACCUUGGACUUCUCAUGCCAUAUGCCCCCUUAUGCUCUCCACUCUUUGCAAACCUCACAGGAUGACAAAGCCUAUUACCCCCUAUGUUACUCAGUGGCUCUCUACAUCCUCCUGGCUUUUCCUCUAGGCAGUGUGUCAUUGGCUCUGUCCUGAAGUUAUGAGACCCGUGGUAAGAUCCCUUCUCCUCUAAGGUUGCUGUGCCUUCUUUAUUUUUGUUUAUUAACCCUUAAGAGACACUGGAGGUGUUCUUUUUGUCUCCUUGUUUUUAGUUAAAAAAUUAGGACUCCCCUCAGGAGGGGAUCCCAAGGGAAUAUAAACAUGUAGGAGGCGACAAAACUGGAAAAUCACUGACGUCUGUCUGGGCAACGGCACACAAAGAGUAAAAGUUUCUGAGCAGAAGUCACAUGUGGAGUUCCCGCAGAGAACAGAAAAAGCAAUGUUUAUCUCAUUUCGACUUCUAAAUGCUGUGUUACAAGGCCUCCCCCACCCCGUGCUUUAAAAACCGUCAAGACGAUCAUCACCUUAAGGUUUGCAAUCCAUGCAGAGAAUCUGAUACAAAUGACCAUUACAAAUGACCCUUUGAAAGCCCAGUCGACAGGUUUUAAAGGACAUGACACUCUUGGCCGGGGAAAGGGUUAGACUGGAUAAGACUUAGCUCACAUCGCUGUUCUGCUGCUGACCGUACCACUCAAUGGCAUAGCUCGAGUUUGGCCUUUGUGUACAGAAGGGGCACCCGCCCUAGAGGUGGGGUCCUCGCUAAGGGAAGCUGGGAUCUGGCAGAGUGCUGUGGGUGCAGAAAAAGAUUCAGACAUCCAUGUGACAUCCACGUGAACUACAGAGGAGGACAAUCCUAAGGGAGGUAUCAGCAGCCCUCCUGCUCCCAUCCGCUCAACACAUCUACUCUGCGCUCUCUAAAUAAAGGAAUCAACAGCUCAAGGACUUGAUGAAUACCGUGUCACGAAUGAAACACCUCAUCUCAAAAUCCGUAAGCUUCCUUUCGGAUGCAUGGAGAUCACCUGGGAAUCUCACAGAAUAAGUAUCUUGCUGUGCUAAGAGUCUAGUGUGGAUAUAUGGAAGUUAUCUGGCACAACAUGGCCCCAUGACCAAAACCAACUCUUUCCAAGAAACCACCACCCACUGCAACACCGGAAGGAAAGCUGCCUUUAUAGUGUAACUUCUGGGUGACUGAAGCCAUGUUUGAGGGUAAUUUUGAACAUGUCACUGUCUGAUACAGUUCCUGAUUCCCAACUUUGACUUACACACCACUGUGCGAGACCUGCUUUUGCAUCAACAAUAGAAAACACAACAUGGUCCUAGGGUGUUCUGACUGCCAUCCGAGAACCCCAUUGAAGCCCAGCUGUGAAAGCGAAGGCUGGCUCUUGGGCCAAACUGAAGUGAGGAGGGUUCACUCUCUGGCCAUGUGGUCGGGAGGGGUGACCUCAGUUCAUAAGAGCCGAUGCCCCCGAGUCCUAGACUUGGGGCCUAGGAGGGAGCAGAGUGGCACAGAACAGCCAUCAUCACCGCCUAGGGAAGUCGCCUGGGAUUCCAACCCUAGCCCUGACCCCUCCAGCUGGUGGAUACUGGGUGGACGGCAGGCAGCACGCCCAGGUGCUUACCCGACAG
This is a long non-coding RNA of Enhydra lutris kenyoni (northern sea otter), 2283 nucleotides long. RefSeq lists it as uncharacterized. The transcript is spliced from 3 exons. Lineage: Eukaryota; Metazoa; Chordata; Mammalia; Carnivora; Mustelidae. The record is from RefSeq and is a predicted model, not a curated record.